This 57-nucleotide transfer RNA is filed under the name Fukomys damarensis (Damara mole-rat). It matches the Rfam family "tRNA", at positions 8 to 63 of the family's 71-position model. Rfam says of the family: Transfer RNA (tRNA) molecules are approximately 80 nucleotides in length. Lineage: Eukaryota; Metazoa; Chordata; Mammalia; Rodentia; Bathyergidae. The record is from Rfam by way of RNAcentral.
UAGCUCAGGGGUAGAGCCCAUGCUUAAAAUGCAUGAGGGCCUGGGUUCAAUCCCCUG